This 692-nucleotide ribosomal RNA is filed under the name uncultured bacterium. Its description in RNAcentral is "bacterial SSU rRNA". The stretch from base 1 to 571 matches the Rfam family "Bacterial small subunit ribosomal RNA", at positions 338 to 873 of the family's 1533-position model. The record is from RNAcentral.
CCUACGGAGGCAGCAGUAAGGAAUAUUGGUCAAUGGACGCAAGUCUGAACCAGCCAUGCCGCGUGAAGGAUGAAGGUCCUCUGGAUUGUAAACUUCUUUUAUCUGGGACGAAAAAAGGGCAUUCUUGCUCACUUGACGGUACCAGAGGAAUAAGCACCGGCUAACUCCGUGCCAGCAGCCGCGGUAAUACGGAGGGUGCGAGCGUUAUCCGGAUUUACUGGGUUUAAAGGGUGCGUAGGUGGGCAGGUAAGUCAGUGGUGAAAUCUUCGAGCUUAACUCGGAAACUGCCAUUGAUACUAUCUGUCUUGAAUAUCCUGGAGGUGAGCGGAAUAUGUCAUGUAGCGGUGAAAUGCUUAGAUAUGACAUAGAACACCAAUUGCGAAGGCAGCUCACUACGGGAUGAUUGACGCUGGAGCGACGAAGACGGUGGGUAGUACGAACGAGGAGUAGUACUACCGUACGGUACGUACCGACCGACCCGUAAACCGUACGUAGGUAGUACUACGACAUAUGCGAUACUACUGUAGUGUGUCGUGAGACGAAACGAACGUAAGUUAAAGUUAACGUUACCCGUACCCGUUACGGGUUAAGGUAACCGGACCGGACCGACGGUUAGGUUAACGUUACGAAGGAAGUUAGUUACGGACGUUGAGACGACGACCGACGGACGGACGACGACGGGAGGUAGGUAG